This 253-nucleotide ribosomal RNA is filed under the name uncultured bacterium. RNAcentral describes it as "partial 16S ribosomal RNA". It matches the Rfam family "Bacterial small subunit ribosomal RNA", at positions 524 to 776 of the family's 1533-position model. The record is from RNAcentral.
UACGGAGGGUGCAAGCGUUAUCCGGAUUCACUGGGUUUAAAGGGUGCGUAGGUGGACAAGUAAGUCAGUGGUGAAAUCCCCGAGCUUAACUCGGGAACUGCCGUUGAUACUAUUUGUCUUGAAUAUCGUGGAGGUAAGCGGAAUAUGUCAUGUAGCGGUGAAAUGCUUAGAGAUGACAUAGAACACCAAUUGCGAAGGCAGCUUGCUACGCGGUAAUUGACACUGAGGCACGAAAGCGUGGGGAGCAAACAGG